This 253-nucleotide ribosomal RNA is filed under the name uncultured bacterium. Its description in RNAcentral is "partial 16S ribosomal RNA". It matches the Rfam family "Bacterial small subunit ribosomal RNA", at positions 524 to 776 of the family's 1533-position model. The record is from RNAcentral.
UACGAAGGGGGCUAGCGUUGUUCGGAAUUACUGGGCGUAAAGGGCUCGUAGGCGGCCAACUAAGUCAGACGUGAAAUCCCUCAGCUUAACUGGGGAACUGCGCCUGAUACUGGAUGGCUUGGAUUCGGGAGAGGAAUGCGGAAUUCCAGGUGUAGCGGUGAAAUGCGUAGAUAUCUGGAGGAACACCGGUGGCGAAGGCGGCAUUCUGGACCGACAUUGACGCUGAGGAGCGAAAGCCAGGGGAGCAAACGGG